This 528-nucleotide ribosomal RNA is filed under the name Triticum aestivum (bread wheat). Its description in RNAcentral is "partial small subunit ribosomal RNA". The record is from RNAcentral. Lineage: Eukaryota; Viridiplantae; Streptophyta; Magnoliopsida; Poales; Poaceae.
AUGGGAUCCGUGACGGCGUCGACGACGGCAAUGCCCGUCCUCCGUGUGGCCGCCAUCUCCGGCUCCGUCCGCAGCAACUCUUGGCACGUCGGCCUCAUCCGCGCUGCCGAGGAGCUGUGCGAGGAGUCCAUCCCGAGGCUGCGCAUCGACCACGUCGACAUCUCCAGCCUGCCCAUGGCCAACCCGGACCUUGAGACACAGGGCGGCGACGGCUUCCCACCGGCCGUGGAGGCAUUCCGCGACAGGGUCGCCGCCGACUGCUUCCUCUUCGCCUCGCCGGAGUACAACUACUCCGUCACCGGCUCUCUCAAGAACACGCUGGACUGGGGGUCGACCCACCUGCGUGAGAUCGGGAUAUACCUGACCUGCACUUCAUCAACAAGCCGGAGCUCCACAUCAGGGCGUACGAGGACCCGCCCAAAUUCGACGGCGAGGGGAACCUCAUCGACGUCCAAGCCAGGGAGCGGCUCGUGCUCCUCUCGCUGCAGGCAUUCGCGCUCAGGCUCCAACACAAGCAGGACUGACUGA